This 544-nucleotide long non-coding RNA is filed under the name Ananas comosus (pineapple). Its description in RNAcentral is "long non-coding RNA (ACOM_LNC031558)". Lineage: Eukaryota; Viridiplantae; Streptophyta; Magnoliopsida; Poales; Bromeliaceae. The record is from RNAcentral.
AUUCGUACUCAUCCCGGUGUCGGAUUUUGAGAAUCCACAACCUACUCCGAUACCGACUGUUAUGUAUCCAGUACCGAUUGUUGGGGACUUGGGAUUUCGCAAUGCAAGCGUCAAAUGAAGUUUUUACUAUAAACCCGUCUUCUUAACAAAAACUGAUAUAAUUAUAAAAAAGAUAAAAAAGAAUAAAUAAAAUUUAUUAAAUAAGAGAAGAUUACAUCUGACUCCUUUUCUACAACUGAGUAACUACAACCUGAGUUAUUUUUUUUGAAUCUUUUCUAUUCUUCUCUUAUCUUCUAUAAAUCCACAAGAAGAUAAUUUUUUUCUCUCUCUCACAUGCAUCCGUGCACUAUAAGAUGCAUGUAACUACUCAGAGACGUACAAGACUCCUUUUCUACAACUGAGUAACUACAACCUGAGUUAUUUUUUUUGAAUCUUUUCUAUUCUUCUCUUAUCUUCUAUAAAUCCACAAGAAGAUAAUUUUUUUCUCUCUCUCACAUGCAUCCGUGCACUAUAAGAUGCAUGUAACUACUCAUAGACGUACAAG